UACAGAGGGUGCAAGCGUUGUUCGGAUUUACUGGGCGUAAAGCGUGCGUAGGCGGUAUUGAGAGUCAUAGGUGAAAUCCCCGGGCUUAACCCGGGAACUGCCCGUGAGACCUCAGUACUAGAGUGUGAGAGGGGAUAGUGGAAUUCCAAGUGUAGCGGUGAAAUGCGUAGAGAUUUGGAGGAACACCGGUGGCGAAGGCGACUAUCUGGCUCACAACUGACGCUCAGGCACGAAAGCAUGGGUAGCAAACAGG
Molecule: ribosomal RNA, 253 nt
Filed under: uncultured bacterium
Lineage: Bacteria
Description: partial 16S ribosomal RNA
Rfam family: Bacterial small subunit ribosomal RNA
Source: RNAcentral